GUACAUGGCGUAGUGGUUUGUGUGUUCGACUGUGACUCUAGAGACCAGGGUUCAAUUCCCCACUUGGCA
Molecule: non-coding RNA, 69 nt
Organism: Phrynosoma platyrhinos (Desert horned lizard)
Lineage: Eukaryota; Metazoa; Chordata; Lepidosauria; Squamata; Phrynosomatidae
Source: the annotation of a GenBank genome assembly